Molecule: non-coding RNA, 1479 nt
Organism: Macaca mulatta (Rhesus monkey)
Lineage: Eukaryota; Metazoa; Chordata; Mammalia; Primates; Cercopithecidae
Source: RefSeq, a predicted model, not a curated record
GCAGGGGUCCGGGGCGGCGCGCCGGGGUCGCGGGCCCCUCAGCCAGCGCUUGGGCCGCUCCGCCGCCAGGGUGCGCAUGUUCACCUGGAACCAGGAACACCACACUCUUUCUUUCCCAGGGAGACAAGGAGAUGAGCUCAGAGCUCGGCGCCUUUCACCUGCCGCCCUCCCAGGCCUUCUGACCCUGUGACCUCCCUUCCUUCUCCCCUUUUCCCGGCUGUUCUUGGGGGAGGUGAGCCUUGGUCUCUCACGUGAGACUCUUCCUAGUUCUCUGAGGAACUCAGAGCAGAUGCCAAUGGGUGCCCCUCAGCCUGCUAGUGGCAAGGAGCCACGAUCUUGACCCCAAGAGGGUUCUUGGACCUUCAAGAAAGAAUUCAGGAUGCCCAUAAAGUUGUGGCCCCUCUGUGCUGAUACGUAACUGUGCCCACCAUUGGUUCCUUCCGGCAUGUUCUAGCGUCACUGGCCCCUGACUUCAAGCAUGAAGCCGCGGACCCUCACAGCUCCUGAAACUUUCAGAAAAAGGCUAGAGGAUCACUCGAUACUCUUCAGUCUCCUGUGCAGAGAGCUGGGAAUGUUUAGGAAUUCGCCUCCUCCCAGGACAACGGUGGAGACUCACUGGUGCAGGGAGCACAUACUUAGCUCUCCUGCCUGUGUGGAGACAGUCUGAGGUGCAAGCCAGCUCCAGAGCUCCUGGGGACCAGGUGCACAGAAGAUGUAGCGUGCAGCAUUCUGCCAAAGGUGCCAUAACUUAUUUGCACAUGGAACCCUCUUACUUCCCUGAGAUUGUGUCCGGAGGACAGACUUCAAAAACCGUUUUGGACAGAUUCUGCUGUGUUCCUGGCUUUUCUUCCAUCAUGCACUUAGAGCAGGAGCCCACAAGCCAGCUGGGAAGCAAUUAUCCGCACCACUGACCUCCGAGAGGUCAGGCCCACUCAUGGAAACCAGCACUCACUAAAUGCCAUGGGAGCAGCGUGGCUCUAACAGCUUGCAGAGGGUCACAGGGGAGUGGCCAACAUCAGAGCUCUCAAAGAGCAGUGCCCUGCAUGUGUGGAAAAGUGCUCUUAGGAGCCCAAGAGAAGUGGAAGAAAUAUUAAGACUUCACUUAAUAAAUAAAAUAGAAGAGGGUUAAAAAACAUGAUGUUCGGAUAUCACCACCUCCAAACUCCCAUCAGUUCAAACAGGUUCUCAGAAAACACAUUUCCCAGUGCUGUGUAUAAAACGCAAGUCCCAGUCAAGAGGAUUUCAGAGGCCCACCUGCCACAGAGUGAGUGAGCAACAUUCUGACGUUGAUCUUUUCAGCCAUUUUUCCCUUUUCCUUUUCAUCCUCUGGCUGUUAGCAAAUCACAUCUUCACAAUGUUUCCUUGAGCGUUCCCAUUCUCUCUGCAGCUGGGUGUGCUGCAUGCCUGGCAAUCCCUGAAACAAAAGCCGUUCGCUGAGGGUGGAGGUGGAGUCUCCCCGGCUCCUGAGCUCACAGCACC